This 89-nucleotide microRNA precursor is filed under the name Canis lupus familiaris (dog). Its description in RNAcentral is "mir-8799 microRNA precursor family". It matches the Rfam family "mir-8799 microRNA precursor family". The record is from Rfam by way of RNAcentral. Lineage: Eukaryota; Metazoa; Chordata; Mammalia; Carnivora; Canidae.
CGGGGAAGGCCGGAUCCUGGGCUGUGUCCCGGUGCCCUGUUCUCCGGGGCGUGCGCUGUUGGAUUCGUGCUCCCACCCCACAGCCCCCU